AGAGUUUGAUCAUGGCUCAGAUUGAACGCUGGCGGCAUGCUUAAUACAUGCAAGUCGAACGGUAACAGAUUCUUCGGAAUGCUGACGAGUGGCGGACGGGUGAGUAAUACAUAGGAAUCUGCCCAUGUAGUGGGGGACAACUUGGGGAAACUCAAGCUAAUACCGCAUAAUUCCUACGGGAUAAAGAGGGCCACUGCUUGCAAGCUCUUGCUACUGGAUGAGCCUAUGUCGGAUUAGUUAGUUGGUAAGGUAAUGGCUUACCAAGACAGCGAUCCGUAGCCGGUUUGAGAGGAUGAUCAGCCACACUGGGACUGAGACACGGCCCAGACUCCUACGGGAGGCAGCAGUAGGGAGUAUUGGACAAUGGGCGCAAGCCUGAUCCAGCAAUGCCGCGUGUGUGAAGAAGGCCUGCGGGUUGUAAAGCACUUUCAAUUGGGAAGAAAGAUUAUGAGUUAAUACCUUAUAAUAUUGACG
RNAcentral lists this ribosomal RNA (474 nucleotides) under uncultured bacterium. Its description in RNAcentral is "bacterial SSU rRNA". It matches the Rfam family "Bacterial small subunit ribosomal RNA", at positions 8 to 474 of the family's 1533-position model. The record is from RNAcentral.